RNAcentral lists this transfer RNA (74 nucleotides) under Limisphaerales bacterium. Its description in RNAcentral is "Verrucomicrobia subdivision 3 bacterium (sediment metagenome) tRNA-Val". It matches the Rfam family "tRNA". From Rfam's summary of the family: Transfer RNA (tRNA) molecules are approximately 80 nucleotides in length. Their secondary structure includes four short double-helical elements and three loops (D, anti-codon, and T loops). Further hydrogen bonds mediate the characteristic L-shaped molecular structure. tRNAs have two regions of fundamental functional importance: the anti-codon, which is responsible for specific mRNA codon recognition, and the 3' end, to which the tRNAs corresponding amino acid is attached (by aminoacyl-tRNA synthetases). tRNAs cope with the degeneracy of the genetic code in two manners: having more than one tRNA (with a specific anti-codon) for a particular amino acid; and 'wobble' base-pairing, i.e. permitting non-standard base-pairing at the 3rd anti-codon position. Lineage: Bacteria; Pseudomonadati; Verrucomicrobiota; Verrucomicrobiia; Limisphaerales. The record is from RNAcentral.
CGCCCGGUGGUGAAACAGCAUCACGUCUGUCUUACACACAGAAGUCGGGGGCGCAACUCCUCCCCGGGCGACCA